AUGAGUCCCGACAGCCCUGCUCCUUUCCCCUCUUGCUUCUCUUUCUCUCUCGUCUCACAUCUCGUCUCUCUCUCAGGAACCUUUUCUUUGAUCCAUCGCCAUGAAGUGCCACAGGAGCUCCACCGCAAGUCCCAAGCCGCGCGUCGCUACCAGGGAUCCGCCGGACGUGGCCUCUACCCUAGGACCCGUGCCCGUGCCUCGGUUCAGCCGCGCCGCCCUGGGUCCCCGUCAGCGUCGGCCCUCUUGUUCCCGCGCCGGACAGAGGAGCUCGACCCCUUCUUCCCGCUACGUCCUCUGCUUCUUCCUCGAGCCCGCAAGGGAGACGAGCACCCCUGCACCCCGCCGCCUACAGGGACUGCAGCCAUGUCGGCCUCUCACCGGAGUCCUUCUCCUCGCCGCUGCCUCCCUGCAAGCACCGCCGCAUCACCUCCCUGCUUCCUCUUCGCGCUCGUGGCCCACGCCUUCGCCUUGCCGUCGUCCAACCGUGAUGCCGCGCCCCUGCCUUCCUGUUUUCGAAGACGAGCGCUACCGUUCCCCUGCAUUGACUGGUGCCAAGUUUUCCCUACACCUGGAACCGCACGGAUCCGUCGAUGCCUCGACCUGCCACCUCGGAUCCCGGCGACCACAGUUCGCCAUUGCCGCGCCGAGACCCGCUGCCGCCUCCAUCGCCUGCUCGCCGCCAUUCUGCUUCACCCUGCGCCGCCGUCCCAUUCGUCCCCGACGAACUGCAGCUGCCGCUCGGGUCAACGGUUGUGCGCACUUGACCGCACGCGCCUGAUCUACCUCCAAGCCAGGCCUUGGGCCGCCUUCCCACGUCGGCCUGCUCCACGCCUCUGGCCCGCAUGGGCUAUUUCCCCUCCAACGGCCCGUUUUGGCCCAUUGUUGGUUCCGAUAACGUCGUGUUUGUGA
This 909-nucleotide ribosomal RNA is filed under the name Triticum aestivum (bread wheat). RNAcentral describes it as "partial small subunit ribosomal RNA". The record is from RNAcentral. Lineage: Eukaryota; Viridiplantae; Streptophyta; Magnoliopsida; Poales; Poaceae.